AUGAAGGCAGCAUUAAAAACUAUCCUCCAAAAUACUCUACAUAAGUUGUGUCGGUGGCAUAUCAUGAAGAAGUACAAAGACCACCUCGCCUUGUUGUAUAAGGCGCACGAGAAACUCAAGGAUGACCUCAAUGCGGUGCUGAACCACCCACUAAUGCCGUCAGAAUUUGAACGAGCAUGGAAGGACCUCAUUCAGAGAUACAACUUGCAAGACGAUGAAGUGAUGAUUUCGCUGUGGGAUGACAGGCACGAGUGGAUCUCGGCUUAAUACAAGGAAAUUUUAUGUGCUCGGAUGACUUCCACACAGAGAAGCGAGAGCAUGAACCGCAUACUGAAGAAAAUUUUUGUCAAAGAGAAGCAUGAUCUCCAUUUGUUUGCUCAGCAGGUGCACAAGUGCAUUCAGACUAGGAAGGUCGUCGAGCAAGCAGAGAUAGUAGCAAAUGAGUCAAAGGUAAAGACAACAACCCAGUUUGGGUUCGAAGUUCAGCUAUCAAAAGUGUAUACAAGGGCAGUGUUUGCAAAUUUCAAAGAAACACUCUACCGUAGCACUGCAUUCAGAGCAGAACGGUGCCCUGAGAACCCGACAAAGUAUCUCGUACACCACUACAACAGAUCGGAUGCAUUUGACUGGGCAAGGCAUAAUUUCCAAGUGGUCGCCGAUGAACAGAAAGGUGUCUACGAAUGUGAGUGCAAACUCUGGACACACACAGGGCUCUUUUGCGUCCAUGUGUUAUGCAUGCUUUCUCAUUUGAGAGUACUCAAGAUUCCUGAGGUGUACAUCAUGAAAAGAUACACCCGUAAUGCAAGAUCAAAUGCAACGUUUGACAAAAGAGACUAUGAACAAACAGCACCAGAUGGAACCUCGCUUUUUUGCUGUAGAAAAUUGCUGACAGAAACAGCAAUGGACCUUGCAAACAAAGCGACAAGGUCCGAC
Molecule: ribosomal RNA, 933 nt
Filed under: Triticum aestivum (bread wheat)
Lineage: Eukaryota; Viridiplantae; Streptophyta; Magnoliopsida; Poales; Poaceae
Description: partial small subunit ribosomal RNA
Source: RNAcentral